Molecule: ribosomal RNA, 388 nt
Filed under: uncultured bacterium
Lineage: Bacteria
Description: bacterial SSU rRNA
Rfam family: Bacterial small subunit ribosomal RNA
Source: RNAcentral
GACGAACGCUGGCGGCGUGCUUAAUACAUGCAAGUGGAGCGACGAACCAGGCUUCGGCCUGGGGCAGAGCCGCGAACGGGUGAGUAACACGUGGGUAACCUGCCUCGAUGACCGGGACAACCCGGGGAAACCCGGGCUAAUACCGGAUGUGCUGUCCCCACAUCAGUGGAGACAGGAAAGGAAGCUUCGGCCUCCGCAUCGAGAUGGGCCCGCGGCCCAUUAGCUUGUUGGUGUGGUAACGGCUCACCAAGGCUGCGAUGGGUAGCUGGUCUGAGAGGACGAUCAGCCACACUGGGACUGAGACACGGCCCAGACUCCUACGGGAGCAGCAGUAGGGAAUCUUGCGCAAUGCGCGAAAGCGUGACGCAGCAACGCCGCGUGGGGGAAG